GGGCAUGUGGCGAAAUGGCAGACGCGCUAGCUUCAGGAGCUAGUNNUUGGAGGUUCGAGUCCUCUCAUGCCCACCA
Molecule: transfer RNA, 76 nt
Filed under: Candidatus Peregrinibacteria bacterium
Lineage: Bacteria; Candidatus Peregrinibacteriota
Description: tRNA-Leu
Rfam family: tRNA
About the family: Transfer RNA (tRNA) molecules are approximately 80 nucleotides in length. Their secondary structure includes four short double-helical elements and three loops (D, anti-codon, and T loops).
Source: RNAcentral